ACGGGUGCGGAACACGUACGCAACCUUCCCAGAACUGGUGAAUAGCCUUUCGAAAGAGAGAUUAAUACACCGUAACUUAAUGAAGUGGCAUCACUUUAUUAAUAUAGUUCCGACGGUUCUGGAUGGGCGUGCGCCUGAUUAGGUAGUUGGCGGGGUAACGGCCCACCAAGCCUACGAUCAGUAACUGGUGUGAGAGCACGACCAGUCACACGGGCACUGAGACACGGGCCCGACUCCUACGGGAGGCAGCAGUAAGGAAUAUUGGUCAAUGGACGCGAGUCUGAACCAGCCAUGCCGCGUGGAGGAUGAAGGUCCUCUGGAUUGUAAACUUCUUUUAUCGGAGAAGAAACCCAGACAUUCUUGUUUGGUUGACGGUACCCGAUGAAUAAGCACCGGCUAACUCCGUGCCAGCAGCCGCGGUAAUACGGAGGGUGCAAGCGUUAUCCGGAUUCACUGGGUUUAAAGGGUGCGUAGGUGGGCUAGUAAGUCCGUGGUGAAAUCUCUGAGCUUAACUCGGAAACUGCCGUGGAUACUAUUAGUCUUGAAUCUCGUGGAGGUAAGCGGAAUAUGUCAUGUAGCGG
This 581-nucleotide ribosomal RNA is filed under the name uncultured bacterium. Its description in RNAcentral is "bacterial SSU rRNA". It matches the Rfam family "Bacterial small subunit ribosomal RNA", at positions 102 to 681 of the family's 1533-position model. The record is from RNAcentral.